This 325-nucleotide ribosomal RNA is filed under the name uncultured eukaryote. RNAcentral describes it as "partial 18S ribosomal RNA". It matches the Rfam family "Eukaryotic small subunit ribosomal RNA", at positions 1470 to 1796 of the family's 1831-position model. The record is from RNAcentral.
CCCUUAGAUGUUCUGGGCCGCACGCGCGCUACACUGAUGCAUUCAACGAGCCUAUCCUUGACCGACAGGUCCGGGUAAUCUUUGAAUCUGCAUCGUGACGGGGAUAGAUUAUUGCAAUUAUUAAUCUUCAACGAGGAAUGCCUAGUAGGCGCAAGUCAUCAGCUUGCGUCGAUUACGUCCCUGCCCUUUGUACACACCGCCCGUCGCUCCUACCGAUUGGGUGUGCUGGUGAAAUGUUCGGAUCGGCCGUUUGUCGCGGUUUCCGCGUCAUGUGGCUGAGAAGUUCAUUAAACCCUCCCACCUAGAGGAAGGAGAAGUCUUAACA